This is a long non-coding RNA of Mauremys reevesii (Reeves's turtle), 672 nucleotides long. RefSeq lists it as uncharacterized. The transcript has 5 exons. The record is from RefSeq and is a predicted model, not a curated record. Lineage: Eukaryota; Metazoa; Chordata; Testudines; Geoemydidae.
GCGGUUGGGAGUGGGCAGGCUAGGGAGGGCUGCAGGCUGUGAUUGGCCAGGUGUGAAGGUGAUUGACUGGGCUAUAUCCCCCUCCUCUUGUCAGUGAAGCCUUGUUUGCUGAAACCAUUUCCACAUAUUGAUCUAUGAGAGGACAUUAUACAUCAUCCGGGGAAGAGUGUAGCUGAACAAAGUUGUUAACACAGGAAAGAGGGGAACAGGGAGCAGUUAUGCUGUGAGAAGCUUUAAGCCAGUUAUGAUCAUAAAUCAUCAGCUCAUACCUAGAUUUACUUAUUUGGAACCCCCAAAUGUCUCUUCCCUGGAGGGGAAAGGAAUUGAAGGUUGCCAGACAUGGACUGAAGCCAUCCCUGAGAGGAUGUGAAACUGAACAGGCAAAGAAUGAGUGAUUUACAUCAACCACAAGUACACUAUUCACGAGGACGCUGCAAGCCAUUCUUUUGAAAAGCUGUUCUAAUGAAUGGGAUUCAUACCUCUAAAAUAAACGAAAAAGGGAUCUGCCAACAUCUUUCCAGAAUAAUCCUUGGUAUCAAAUGUUGAAUAUAUGGAGUCUUUCAGCAUAUCAAUUCGGCCAUGGGAUGUAAAUAUUAGAAAUAGUAUAAAAUGUAUAUGGUAACUUCUGUCUAUUAUUGGAGACAGCUGAAAAGCGUGCUUGUUUUUCUUCCC